UCCCUGAUAGCUCAGUUGGUAAAGAAUCUGCCUGCAAUGCAGGAGACCCUGGUUCGAUUCCUGGGCCAGGGCA
RNAcentral lists this transfer RNA (73 nucleotides) under Bos taurus (domestic cattle). It matches the Rfam family "tRNA". Rfam says of the family: Transfer RNA (tRNA) molecules are approximately 80 nucleotides in length. Their secondary structure includes four short double-helical elements and three loops (D, anti-codon, and T loops). Lineage: Eukaryota; Metazoa; Chordata; Mammalia; Artiodactyla; Bovidae. RNAcentral also lists the same sequence under 3 other names. The record is from Rfam by way of RNAcentral.